GUCGAACGCUGGCGGCGUGCUUAACACAUGCAAGUCGAACGGUAAGGCCCUUCGGGGUACACGAGUGGCGAACAGGUGAGUAACACGUGGGUGAUCUGCCCUGCACUUCGGGAUAAGCCUGGGAAACUGGGUCUAAUACCGGAUAGGACCACUGCCUGCAUGGGUGGUGGUGGAAAGCUUUUGCGGUGUGGGAUGGGCCCGCGGCCUAUCAGCUUGUUGGUGGGGUGAUGGCCUACCAAGGCGACGACGGGUAGCCGGCCUGAGAGGGUAACCGGCCACACUGGGACUGAGAUACGGCCCAGACUCCUACGGGAGGCAGCAGUGGGGAAUAUUGCACAAUGGGCGCAAGCCUGAUGCAGCGACGCCGCGUGAGGGAUGACGGCCUUCGGGUUGUAAACCUCUUUCAGCACCGACGAAGCGCAAGUGACGGUAGGUGCAGAAGAAGGACCGGCCAACUACGUGCCAGCCGCCGCGGUAA
RNAcentral lists this ribosomal RNA (478 nucleotides) under uncultured bacterium. RNAcentral's name for it is "partial 16S ribosomal RNA". It matches the Rfam family "Bacterial small subunit ribosomal RNA", at positions 28 to 523 of the family's 1533-position model. The record is from RNAcentral.